UACAGGGGGUGCAAACGUUGCUCGGAAUUACUGGGCGUAAAGCGCACGUAGUCGGCUUUGCAAGUCGGGUGUGAAAUCCCCGGGCUCAACCUGGGAACUGCAUCCGAGACUGCAUUGCUAGAGUAUGGGAGAGGGAAGCGGAAUUUCUGGUGUAGCAGUGAAAUGCGUAGAUAUCAGAAGGAACAUCAGUGGCGAAGGCGGCUUCCUGGACCAAUACUGACGAUCAGGUGCGAAAGCGUGGGGAGCAAACAGG
RNAcentral lists this ribosomal RNA (253 nucleotides) under uncultured bacterium. RNAcentral's name for it is "partial 16S ribosomal RNA". It matches the Rfam family "Bacterial small subunit ribosomal RNA", at positions 524 to 776 of the family's 1533-position model. The record is from RNAcentral.